CACCGGCCGCCCGAGUGGUGGCCACUAUUAUUGGGUCUAAAGCGUCCGUAGCCGGCUUGGCAAGUCCCCUGGGAAAUCUGGCGGCUUAACCGUCAGGCGUCCAGAGGAUACUGCCAGGCUUGGGACCGGGAGAGGUGAGAGGUACCUCAGGGGUAGGGGUGAAAUCUUGUGAUCCCUGAGGGACCACCAGUGGCGAAGGCGUCUCACUAGAACGGGUCCGACGGUCAGGGACGAAAGCUGGGGGCACGAACCGG
RNAcentral lists this ribosomal RNA (254 nucleotides) under uncultured microorganism. Its description in RNAcentral is "partial 16S ribosomal RNA". It matches the Rfam family "Archaeal small subunit ribosomal RNA", at positions 474 to 727 of the family's 1478-position model. The record is from RNAcentral.